This 5934-nucleotide long non-coding RNA is filed under the name Triticum aestivum (bread wheat). RNAcentral's name for it is "long non-coding RNA (TAES_LNC006562)". The record is from RNAcentral. Lineage: Eukaryota; Viridiplantae; Streptophyta; Magnoliopsida; Poales; Poaceae.
CAUUCAUUGGUUGUUGACAAUAUUUCUGAUUCCCAGUAAAAAAAAAGAGAAUGAAACAAACAAAAGACAGACUGCGAGGCCACACUAGUGCUUCCAAUACCGCAAGUACUACACAUGCAAGAUUGUAGCAAACACUCAGCCAAUUACAACAAUUAAAUUGGGAUUUCCCCCUCUCUACUUUUCCUCGACAACCCAACCUAGAUAGAUCUCCUCAUCACACCGUGUAGAUCCCAUAUGCUUUCCCCUCCUCCUGUAAUCAUAGCCAAAGUACCAAGUCAGGUUUCUCUAGCAGCACAAGAAAAGACAAAGAAAAAGGCUACCAAAACAAGGGACAACAAGCCUACUUCAUUCGAAUUCGACAACAAGCAACAUUAUCUCAACGUCAAUGGGAAUACAACAGGUACAGCCGUGCAAACAGAAGAUGUUACCCGAGCCCCUCUCGGUGGUUAACCAGGAUGUUAAUCUACAAGCAGUAGAACGAUCCCCAGAAAUAAAUCAUCACAGAAGGAACUUUGGUUGCUACUUGAAGCACACUCAGUUACUCGACCUUGUUUUGCCUGGUUACUCAGCUGUUACUUGACCCUCUUUAACUCUUCACUGUGAACAGUAGCAGUUAGUGUCUCCAAACUAUGCUAGAGCAGUGAAGCGAAAACUUGUCUCCAAACUAUCAAUGCCAAGUAGGCACUGCAGUUCUCUUAAGAAAUUAAAUUCUACAUAUUCCGGCAAGGUGACAAACGCUCUUCCAUUUCAGAAGAAGAAUGAGAAACUCUAGUUGCUACCUACAGUUUCAGGGAAUGGCAGAGCUGGAACGGAACCUCGGAAACAAGCAAAGGCAAAGCAUAACAUGGCAUAGCAUGCAUACAAGCUAUUUAUUUCCCAAGGAGCCACCGAUCAACAUAUGUUGAUUGACUUGGCAAACAUUAUACUUGCCCUCCAAAAAACGUCGACGCACAUGCAUGCUCACAGCAUCUAAGUUUGCUCAUCCUACUUAGAAUCACCUACGCAUAGGAAAAUAGAACAAUGUAACUGGCAGCACAAAUAGCUACUAUGGUCAGAAAACUCAAGCAAGACGACCUUCUACCAGGGGAGCUGCUCGAUGGCCGUGGGCACACAGACCAUGAGAGAAAAACAAGGGAGAGCAACCGAAGUGGCUUACCUAUGCCGUACUGGAAGAAGAAGCGUCCAAGUGAGGCGCCACUCAAGAGUGAGCGGCGACACAAGAAGAGUUGCUUCGAUGACAAAACUCGACUCGUGUUGGAUGCUGUGGUCGCCAAAGGCACAACCAUGGCGGUCCCGUGUGGUGCCCGUUCGGUGACCACCCUGUAACAGCAACAAAGAGAUAAGUUCUUUCUCAUUACAUCUAGCUAGCCUGCUCUGUACAUGAACACUGGAAAGUAUAUACAUCAAUAGAAGGACCAGAAUCAUAACAGCUUAACAUGCUAAAAAUGACCGAAUCAUGAUAAUGGUUAAAUCUCAUAGUGACAGAAUCAUAUAUUGGAAGAAAGGAAGACUACAUAUUGUCAGUCAAGCAGAGUUCAAUGAGUCAACAAUAUACUUUUUCUGUUCUCCCUAUUCCCUUAGAUGAGUCGAACAGAGUUCGGUUAAGUCAAACAGAGUUCUAGCCAACAACACAAAAAGAAGACUACAAGUUUAACCACACUGCCCUUCAGUUAGGCAACAACAAGAGUAGGCAGCCUAACAUGUUAACAUCCACAACGACAGCUAGCUUAAUUUGUCAAACAAGAAAAAUAGUACAUCUUCUCAUGUUUUCUUUCAUGUAUGACAGAAGCAACAGAUAGUUUGCUCAGACAAAACAAUAAAAUUUAAUUGAGAUCAGAAAACGAAAUCAUAGAGCUGCGCUUACAGAGUAUCAUCAUUGCAAGCCAUACAAAAAAAGAGAGUUAUAUUUACCAAGAAAAACCACUCUACCAUGCUCACUACAGCCCGUGCAUCAGUUACAAACAUACACAAGUAACAACACCAUGCUCCCUACAGCCUGUGCACCAGUUACUUCAUGAUAUGAAGGAACCGAAACACGUGGGAGGAACUACAUGCUCAUUUCCAAUAGAGAAGAGAAAGGAACCCAAAUUAAUGUUGUGUCUAAGAAAUGCCCGCAUACACUUUAUACAAGUUAAAUCACCAUGAUACGUCAACAUGCAGCAGGUAUAGGCUUGCAGCAACUAUGACAUGCCAAGAAAGUGCUUCUAUGGUCACAGAACUCAAGCAACACGAACUACUGCCAGUGGAGCGGCUCGAUGGCCGUCGGCACACAGACCAUGACAUAAGAAAUAGGGCGGAGCAACUGAAGUGGCUUACCUAUGCUAUAGUGGAAGGAGAAGUGCCACCGGAGGCGCCACUCGAGAAUGAGCGACGGCGCAGGCACAGCUGCUUCACCGACAAAACACAGCUCAUGCUGGACGGCGGAGUCUCCAUGCCGUGGUUGCCAAAGGCACAACCAUCGUGGUUCUAUAAGGCCAUAGGCCACGGUGGUGCUCGUUCGGUGACCACCCUGUAACAGCAAGAAAAAGAUCAGUCCUUUCUCAUCACAUCCAGCUAGCCUCCUCUGUACAUCAACACAGGAAAGUGUAUAUACAUAAAAAAAGGACGAGAAUCAUGUCCUUAUCAGCUUAACAUGCUAAAAACUAAACCAAAGGUUUUGCCAAAAAAUUCUUGAUUCCAGCAAACAGCAGUCUGAAUGAACAAAGUCCAUACUCUCAGGGCCAGGAAAAAAAGCAGCAAGACUACAUAUAUCGACAGUCAAACAGAUUUCAGCAAGCCAUCGGUAUCCUUUUCCUUUUCUACCUUAGACGUGGCCUCAACAUCAUUGUCAGGUCAACAACACAAAAAGAAGACUACAAGUUCAAACUUUUUUGCUCUUCAUUUAGGCAACAGCAAGGGCAGACAGCCAACAACGGAAAAAGAAAUGCAGUCACGAAGCAGUAGCAUAAACCAGCCCAAGUAUAGUAUUUCUGUUCUUGUCCCGGCUUAAUUACAAAAGGGGAGUGACCUUUGUUUAAUAACCAGUGCAUAUGAUCCAGUAUAAUCAUCCCAGAAAUAAUCAUGUACGAUCCAGUACAAGCAUUUCUGUAUCACACCAUAACACACAAUAUAUUCAUACACAAAGCCCUUGAGAGAUGACCAAAUAAAACAGGCAAAUUAUCCUGUUAAUGGCAUGCUACAGUCAAGAGGAUUGGUGGCCAGAUGACCACCACCACCACAAGCACUUGGUCAUUGGCAUGAUGGCCGGCACAACAUGGCCAUGAUGGUCGGGCUCCUUGGAGCAUGUGAGAGGGCAAGAGAAGGAACCGGGUGUCUUACCCAUGCAGGAGUCAAAGAAGAGGCGGCCGGAGUCGAUGCAGGCGAGGAAGAUCACCACCGUGUGUCGGGGUUGCAGUAUGCUGUCACAAUGCAGGACAAAAUGGGAGCACAAUGGCAUGAUGAUCAGAGCACAAUAAAAAAUGAAAUCACACAGGCAACAAAGAAAUGAUGCAUAUGAUUUACACCAAGGUUUUUAUCAUUUGGGCACAGAUAGCAGCACUACGAUACAACAGAAUCAACAUAGCUACAUACAUGCGUUCUUUUUAGUAUCCACGAUGAACAUGCCUCCAGUACAUGUGUUCUGCUUAAAAGAUAUUGUUCAUCAUACGGCAUGCUAAAACAGCACACAGAUCGCACUACAUACAGACAGACCAAGAUAAACACAUUAUUCAUUAUACAACAUCAUUUACAGGCUGACCGUGGUAGCAUGCACGCUGAUAGACUGACUAAACACUCCCUGACAACUAGGCAUGGCUUUAUGCAUCAUACAAAGUUAGCAGAUAGAUCGCACUACAUACAGACGAACAGAGGUAAACACAUUAUUCAUUAUACGACAUCAGUACAGGCUGAACCGUGAUAGCAUGCACGCCGAUAAACUAACUAGACACUCCUUGACAACUAAGCAAGACUUUAUGCCUCAUACAAAGUUAGCAACCUCGUUUAUUUAUAACAGCGCCGCGUAGAUAGAAACCUAAGGUUUUCACUGCAGCUGAAUCAAAAAAGCACAGAGACACAUGAAACAGUCAUAUAAAUUCAAUGGACUCCGAUAUAUCCUAAAUCAAAAGGGCAGCAGCAUUCUUACAAGUUUAUCUCAGUUAGUUUCAACCCUUUAGCGGUUCAGCAAAAGAAAUAGACAAAAUAUCACCAAAAGAAACAAGUUGAGAGCCAUGAGGCACUUUGCAUCUUGUGCCAGCCAAACAAUACAUCUGAAUUCUCCAAUCAGCCAAGCACUGAUCAACCUCGUCACAUGCUAAAUAAGACAGGAUCAACUGAUGCACUUACGCUUUGACAACUGUCUCCUCAUAUUUGUCCUCAAGACCCCUGGCCCUGUAACAACCAACCACGACUUCCACGUAUUUCUUCUCCUCUCCUGUCAUCAAUAUCAUCCAAAGAACCAAGUCAGGUCUCUCCAAUGAACACAAUAACACAAGGUAAUGACAAAAGUAAGUGACAGCAGGCUCAUGGAUUUUCAGGUUGCACGAAGAAUUCUAACAAGGACGGACCCGGACCAAUGAGUGUGUUGCAAAUAGCCAAAAAAAUUCUACAAAAUGUAGAUAAUAUAAGCUUCAGCCAAAAAUAUUGCCCUAAGCAUUUGCUCUCAAGUGAACGAGGCCCACAAAUCAUUGCCAGAUUACAUACAUCUCCUACCACAGCAAAUAGAUCACACUUCACACGGUAAGACCAAGGUAAACCUUUUAAUGUUCAUUAUACGGCAUCAAUACAAGCUGACCAUCAUAGCAUGCACGCUAAGAGACUAAACGAUGCCUCAUAACUAGGCAUGACUUUAUGCAUCUUAAAAAGUGGGCAACAAUGCCACACACAUAAAAACAUAAGGUUUUCGCUGCAGCUGAAUUACCAAAGCACAUAAAUACAUGAAACGGUCAUAUACUUUCAAUGAACUCAAAUAUGUCCUGAAUCAAAAGGUGCUUCUUCCUAAAAAGGUCAGGGUGCCACAGUGCUGUAGCUGAACAAUGAAAUUAAGCAUGACCCAAUUGGUAGCAAAACUAUAUGAACGAAUUAGAUAAAUUGGUUGCUUCUAAAAAGGUCAAGGUGCCACGGUACUUAUUACUAUGUAAUUACUGGCAGGUUAAUUGUCUGGAAAACAAGAUGCAAUGGUGUAUAACACACAGUGAUAGAUGUGCAAGGGAAAAGACAACAACAAUGUUUGUUAAAAGAAGGAUCGAGUUCUACGGACUGAUUAGUUAGUUGACCACAACAUGUUAAAGAAUAAUCGAAUUCUUCUACUUACUAUGGCAACACCUAGAAGGCUAGAAAGAGAGUUUUUCCCCUGCUGAUCACAAUCAGAAGGGCUCAUGGGGCAUUCGCAGGUUCCCCUAGACAUUCGCCACCACCUUUGCUAUGAUGAAACCCAUCUUCGGGUUUCCCUGGUGCUUGCCUAAGGUGGCAGGGUUGCUUGCUCAUCACUGCACCAAACAGUUUCCAACAAACACACGGUCAGGUGUCACUGGAACAAACAGGGAGCAACACAUAAGCAAAGAGGGAGCGAUUGACAUCAACUUCAACACUAAUUCAAUACCACACACUUCAGCCCAGCAGGGACACAACGCAAAAGCAAACCAAAUCUACGAGUAUGAUACAACAGAGAACAAGUUGAGGCAUCUCCCACACUCGCAGGAAGCCCUCACUUUGCAUAUAUCUUGAACCAGCCAAACUACACAUCUUAAUUCUACCAUCAGUCAAGCACUGAUCAAGGUCGUCACAUGCUAAACAAAACAGGAUCAACAGAUACACUUACGCUUUGACAACCGUCUCCACACAUAUGGCCCUUGACCAUAUCCUCAAGACCCCCCUGGCCCUGUAACAACCAACCACGACUUCCAGGUGUUUCUUCUCCUCUCCUGUGAUCAAUAAUAUCCAAAGAAUCAAGUCAGGUCU